GACAGAGGUGCCAAGCGUUAGGCGGAAUCACUGGGCUUAAAGCGUGUGUAGGCGGAAUGGUAAGUACCUUGUGAAAUCCCACAGCUCAACUGUGGAACUGCUCGGUAUACUGCUUUUCUUGAGCCACUUAGGGGCUGUCGGAACAAGCGGUGGAGCGGUGAAAUGCGUAGAUAUCGCUUGGAACGCCGAAGGUGAAAACAGGCUGCUGGGGUUGCGCCGACGCUGAGACACGAAAGCCAGGGGAGCAAACGGG
RNAcentral lists this ribosomal RNA (253 nucleotides) under uncultured bacterium. Its description in RNAcentral is "partial 16S ribosomal RNA". It matches the Rfam family "Bacterial small subunit ribosomal RNA", at positions 524 to 776 of the family's 1533-position model. The record is from RNAcentral.